Non-coding RNA from Ixodes scapularis (black-legged tick), 81 nucleotides. Lineage: Eukaryota; Metazoa; Arthropoda; Arachnida; Ixodida; Ixodidae. The record is from Rfam.
GCAGUCGUUGCCGAGUGGUUAGGCGAUGGACUAGAAAUUCAUUGGGGUCUCCCCGCACAGGCUCGAAUCCUGUCGACUCCG